ACAUUAUAAGAAAGAUAAGCUUGUUAUUUCACACAAGCCCUGAAAGAAUUUAAUGUACCAAUUUUCAUAGAACUUUUACUUUCAUGAAACGUGCUUAGUGAUCAUAUAAUGUUGAGGUGUAUCAUGUUCUCUUGCAUCUUGCACUUUUAUGUUCUAAUCUUCCACAUUCGCAUUGAUCUUCCGACCUAGAAAAACAAAUAUCGAAGACCAAACGCAAAUUUGGAAAACUAAAGACUAAUAAGCUAAAAUACAAAUUUAUGUCAAAGUCGAAUACAAGUAUCGAAGAUAUUUACCCUUCGGAUAACUCUCGUUACUCUCAAAUGCCUUAAACAAACACAAACCUUUUACAAAACCAUUGCCGAUGCGCAAAACAUACAAGACAGAACUACGAAAGCAAGCAGAGCACCUCAAAAGCAUCAAACUAGGAAAUCACCACUCUACUAAAUACUAAACUAGAAAACCCGAAAUCGAUACCUACCAUAUCUUAAGUCGCGUAUUUACCUUUGAUGAAUGCGUAAAGUUUCUGGCAUCCUUCGUCAUCUUCAAAGGAAUGGGCUUCCACAAGCCCAUACCUGCACAAAGUCAAAGGUAUCGAUCCACUUGUAAGUAAAUUGGCCUACUGAAUUAUAGCUGAACAAGAUGAAAAUCAACCAACAUGUAAAUGAAAUGCAUGAUAAAAACCUAAAACUGAUUACUCAAGAUAAAAAAAAAAAAAAAUUUCUAAAUCAUAUUUUAUAUGAAGUUGAAAAAAAAAGGAUAAAAGAAAAAUGUAUAGGUCAACCCAACCCGUUUCAACCCAUUGCCGAACCCGCUCAACCCAUUUGUCCUGUUUUCUUUUUAGCUAACUAUACAAAAUCAUCCAUUUGGCCCGUUAGCAAUAAAAGAAAGCACAAAUCAACGAGGUUUCACAUCAAUGGAUUAAAAUUUUGCUAGGAGAGUAUAUUUAUGGUGGGUUCUCAAGAAUGCUGCAGGUAACUAAAUCCGAGUGAUUAGCAACAUGUGCAAGAUUGGCAUUUUGAAAGAAGUGGCCUGGUGGUGAAUGCAAUAUGCAUCAAAUAAAAGAUAUAUCUUUUGUGCGGGUCAAGAUGGGUAGUUUUGGGUUGACCUGGAGUACUUUUUGUCCUGAUUUUUUAACUUCUUUUUUUUCAUAAAUAAUUAGUGGGUUAAAUAUGAUUACAAAAACUACGUUAUUACAAUAAUGAUAUAAUUUUUUGAACAAAAAAGAUUUAGAAGGUUGUAUGCUAUAAAAAACACACUUUGGACAUCACUCAACUGGUUCAACCAAUUUGAUCUGUUUUCGUUUUAGCUAGAAUUUAAAAGAGUAAAAUGCCAUUUUUGUCUCUGAGGUGGAGAGGUUUGUCGAGUGCUGACGUGGCAGUGGUGGAGGACGGUGGCUCCUCCGUUGACAUGGUGGCGUAAUCGACGGAAUUAGGGUAAUAAAAUUGGAAUUUGGGGGAAGAGUGAGUAGUGUGUCGUGU
RNAcentral lists this long non-coding RNA (1478 nucleotides) under Helianthus annuus (common sunflower). RNAcentral's name for it is "hypothetical non coding rna". Lineage: Eukaryota; Viridiplantae; Streptophyta; Magnoliopsida; Asterales; Asteraceae. The record is from RNAcentral.